This 587-nucleotide ribosomal RNA is filed under the name uncultured bacterium. RNAcentral's name for it is "bacterial SSU rRNA". It matches the Rfam family "Bacterial small subunit ribosomal RNA", at positions 102 to 694 of the family's 1533-position model. The record is from RNAcentral.
AAGGGUGAGUAAGGCGACGGUAACCAACCCCAGGAUUGGGUAUAGCCGCGGGAAACCGCGGGUAAUCCCCAGCGACGCAACGGCACCGGCAUCGGUGCCUUGCCAAAGCUUCGGCGUCGUGGGACGGGCUGUCGUGGUAUUAGCUUGUUGGCGGGGUAAUGGCCCACCAAGGCUCUGAUGCCUACCGGGCGUGCGAGCGUGGCCCGGCACACUGGGACUGAGACACUGCCCAGACUCCUACGGGAGGCUGCAGUCGAGAAUCUUCGGCAAUGGGCGCAAGCCUGACCGAGCGACGCCGCGUGGAGGAUGAAGGCCUUCGGGUUGUAAACUCCUGUCGAGGGGGAAAAAGGGUCGAGAGGCCUUGAUUGAUCCCUGGAGGAAGCACGGGCUAAGUUCGUGCCAGCAGCCGCGGUAAGACGAACCGUGCGAACGUUAUUCGGAAUCAUUGGGCUUAAAGCGCGUGUAGGCGGAUUCGUGCGUCUGUCGCUGAAAUCCCCCGGCUCAACCGGGGAAGUGGCGUGGAUACGACGAGUCUGGAGGGGCAUAGGGGGACCUGGAACUUCCGGUGGAGCGGUGAAAUGCGUUGA